This 705-nucleotide ribosomal RNA is filed under the name Triticum aestivum (bread wheat). RNAcentral describes it as "partial small subunit ribosomal RNA". Lineage: Eukaryota; Viridiplantae; Streptophyta; Magnoliopsida; Poales; Poaceae. The record is from RNAcentral.
AUGGAUGCAGCUGCCUAUGCUUACACUGAACAUGACUUCAAUUUGGCCAUGGAAAGCAUGAAGGCUGAGUGCACUGCUGCUUGGGAGUGGAUGUCAAGAAUUCCUGCUAAAGCUUGGUCUAGUCAUGCAAUGGACACUAAUUGCAAAACUGAUUUAGUGGUGAAUAACUUAAGUGAAGUUUUUAAUAAGUACAUUCUAGAUGUAAGGAACAAGCCAAUUGUCACAAUGAUCAAUGGGAUCAAGGACAAGUUGCUAGUGAGGUUCCACCAGAAGAGAGAGGGUGGAAAAUGUGCUAGAUGGGAGAUUGCACCAACCUAUGCAGAGAAGUUGGAGAUGAACAAGAAGUAUGCAAGGGAUUGCAAAGCACUCACAGCUGGCCAAGGACUUUUCCAAGUCACUAGUGGAGACAAGACCUAUGGUGUUGACACAAACAUACAUACAUGUGGGUGCAAGAAAUGGGACAUCACUGGAGUUCCUUGCAAACAUGCUUGUUCUGCCAUCUAUAGGUCUAAACAGCUGCCAGAGGAUCAUAUCAAUGUGUUUUUCAAGAAAUCUAUGUACUUGGAGGCAUAUAAGCCAGUGAUUUACCCUGUUCCUGGUCCAGAUAGCUGGGUGAAAACUCCAACACCUGACAUUGAACCACCACAGUUCAAAGAUGACAAGAAGGGGCCAGCAGAAGAGAAAAGGAAAAAAAGGAAAGUUUGA